GGCAAACCCAGGGCAGCUGAAGAGGAACAUGUGAACUUAACUGCUGCACCACUGGCCUGGCCCCUUCUUUAUUUUUACUUGAGGAUGAUAGGCCCUGAGCUAACAUCUGUGUCAAUCUUCCUCUAUAUUUUUGGAUGUGGGACACCUCCAUAGCAUGACUGUUUUCAAGACAGGGAAGACUUCCAGGGCAGUGGUGGAGAGAAGAGAGAAUUGGGGACCAUAUAAUCCCCUGGAGCCUGGGAUGGACAUUUGGGUAGAUACACGAGUUACAGAUGGCCUUCACGAUGUCUCCUGAGCACAGAAGUCUAGUGUCCAUGAUGUGUGGGGGUUCUAAAAGACUCAAAGUGAGUUCAAGAUUUUCCUCUCACCAUUAAAAGGAAAUGUUGCUGACUCUGUCUGUGAACGGUAUGCUGAGUUGUUCUAGACCAUAGGCCAUAUUUGGUGCUUUUUGUUCUUACAAAUAUGGGCUACAGUACACUAAACAUCCAUACUAUUUCCUCAAGAUCAAAUUGCGUCCCAUGAUUGGCAUCUGCCUGACGUUGCCUAGAGAUGAGAAUUCAGUCUGUGCCUUUGAAACGCGUUUCUCUCACUAUGAAGCCAACUGGCCCACGUGGGAUUUGGCUCUACAAGUCUCCCUCAUUAACAGCUAAUGAGCAGAGCUCAAUGCUAAACAACAGGGCGAUUCCUGCUUUGAUUAUUCUAGGUUCAAGGUGGUGGCACUGGCCUGGAGACUGAAAACGGC
This 742-nucleotide long non-coding RNA is filed under the name Equus asinus (donkey). RNAcentral describes it as "lncRNA (ENSEASG00005034795.1)". Lineage: Eukaryota; Metazoa; Chordata; Mammalia; Perissodactyla; Equidae. The record is from RNAcentral.